RNAcentral lists this transfer RNA (78 nucleotides) under Sphaerodactylus townsendi. RNAcentral's name for it is "tRNA-Ala". Lineage: Eukaryota; Metazoa; Chordata; Lepidosauria; Squamata; Sphaerodactylidae. The record is from RNAcentral.
UCUCCUGUGUCUCAGUGGUACAGCAUCUGCUUCGCAUGCUGAAGGUCCCAGGUUCAAUCCCCGGCAUGUCCAGUUGAA